Molecule: ribosomal RNA, 486 nt
Filed under: uncultured bacterium
Lineage: Bacteria
Description: partial 16S ribosomal RNA
Rfam family: Bacterial small subunit ribosomal RNA
Source: RNAcentral
AUUGAACGCUGGCGGCAUGCCUUACACAUGCAAGUCGAACGGCAGCACGGGUGCUUGCACCUGGUGGCGAGUGGCGAACGGGUGAGUAAUACAUCGGAACAUGUCCUGUAGUGGGGGAUAGCCCGGCGAAAGCCGGAUUAAUACCGCAUACGAUCUACGGAUGAAAGCGGGGGCCCUUCGGGCCUCGCGCUAUAGGGUUGGCCGAUGGCUGAUUAGCUAGUUGGUGGGGUAAAGGCCUACCAAGGCGACGAUCAGUAGCUGGUCUGAGAGGACGACCAGCCACACUGGGACUGAGACACGGCCCAGACUCCUACGGGAGGCAGCAGUGGGGAAUGUUGGACAAUGGGCGAAAGCCUGAUCCAGCAAUGCCGCGUGUGUGAAGAAGGCCUUCGGGUUGUAAAGCACUUUUGUCCGGAAAGAAAUCCUUGGCCCUAAUACGGUCGGGGGAUGACGGUACCGGAAGAAUAAGCACCGGCUAACUACGUG